This 11507-nucleotide long non-coding RNA is filed under the name Equus caballus (horse). RNAcentral's name for it is "lncRNA (ENSECAG00000047065.1)". Lineage: Eukaryota; Metazoa; Chordata; Mammalia; Perissodactyla; Equidae. The record is from RNAcentral.
CUUGUGUGUGUUUUGUUUUAAUAUCUCCACAAUUCUUGAACUAGAACAUCUUACAUUUGAUCUAUGUAAUGGUUUCAAUUUGGAUAUAUAGUCCACGAUAACUAUCGUUUAUUUUAGCUCAUUCAUACCAUUGCACUGAGUGAAAUAUUUUUGGUCACCCAUCUGUGUGGCACAAUCUGAAGAUGAAGCAUCCAUUUGGAACAUUGCCAGUAAUCGUGGUGUCAAAUUUAUAUCACGAAAAUUUUAAGUACUAGUAUGAGGGAUUGAAUUUUGUCCAAAUAUAUUGUAUUUAUGUUAAAGGGUACAUUUUGCAACAUGUUUGCCCUGGGAAUGCUGAGGGAGGGAAUUCCAGCUUGAGUUGAAAGUGUGCUCACUGGGAAUUUAAAACAUUUCGGGAUUUGUCUAAAGUCUAGUUGCAUAAAGAAGGAGAGUAGGCUUUGCAGUGAUGAGAUCAUUCUAGGGAAAAGAGAGUUGAGAGACUGGGCCUUCUCCCUGUUCAAUCAGAACACAGAGCAGGAUAAGGAGAGUGUUAUGGUGCCUUGAUGACACAGGACCAUCAGCCGUACCUCCAGCAGGGUGUCCAUCCACCCAAGGCAAGGCAGCACCAUGCAAGGAACCCAGAAACUCAACCUCGAGAAGGACAGAACCAAGCUGAAAAAGACAGCAUUGGGAGCUUCAGACAUGUCAGGGGAUGAUGUAUCUGGAAGCUAUGUCACCCAUCCUUCCCUCUGUGUCUGGGAAAUGGUGUGUUCACUGCACCACAGGCACCUUCAGUAACAGAAUCCUUGGGAUAGACAUCAUUGGGAGAGGCUAGGAUAGGAGAAAAGAAAGUGAUAGCUGUGUUUUGGUCGCUUGAGAUGCUCCUUUAGAGCUCUCAAAUAUGACUGGAUGAGUGAGGUCUCAGUGGGCAGGAUCUCAGCAACAGCAUCAGGUACUAAAGAAAUGUACCUCAUCACCAUCGAUGUCUUCCUAUUUUUGGAGGCUCUUGGCCUUUUUCACCCCAAUCCUUUGCAGCCUGGAAUGACAUGUGGAAACAUGGGCUAAAUAGUACAGUUAGCUGAGAAAGGGAAGUAUACGCAGAGUCUUUUAAGAGAUGAUGUCAACUUAGCAUGAAAGGCUACUUUAUGAACUGCAAGAAACUGCAAAACUAAACGCUGAUGGGAUAGUGGGAAGAAAUGAUAAGUUCUGUGAGUGAGGAAAUAUCCUCAGGCAAAAAAUUUGCCAUGUUAAUUUAGACAUUAUGUACCACCAAAUGAGUUCAGUUACCAGACAGAUCACAGAAACUUACCCAAGUACACACGGGACGUGAGUAUAGAAUAAGACAUCAGUUCAAGUCUCUGGGGAAAGUGGAUUGUUCACUAGUUCAUGGACAUUUGGUUAGGCAUUUGGAAACAAAAUAAGCUGAAUUCCAUUUCACUGUUUCAACCAAAAUUACUUCCAGGUAGAUAAAUGAUUUAAACAUGCAAAUGAAAUACUAAAAGUACACUCAGAAAAGAUGAGUGGAUUAAUUUUAUAAUCUUGGAGUAGAAAAAUUAUUUCUAAACAAUCCACAACUAUGAAAGUCCCACUUCUGGAUCUUUAUCCAAAAGACAUGAAAUCAGGAUCUCUAAGAGAUAUCUGCAUCCCAUACUCACUGCAGCAUUAUUCACAACAGCCAAGAUGUGGAAACAACCUAGGUGUCCAUCAACAGAUGAAUGCACAAGGAAAGCAUGGAAUAUAACUGCAAUGUAAUUUGUUCAGCCUUAAAAAAUGAGGAAGUCCUACCAUUUGCAGCAACAUGGAUGGACCUGGAGGAUAUUAGCUCUGUGAAACGAGUCAGUCACAGGACAAAUACUGCAGGGUUCCUCUUAUGUGAGGCAUCUAAAAUAGUCAGAGGUGUAGAGGUAGACAAUAGGAUGGGGAGGAGGGGUGUUGUUGUUCAAUGGGUACAAAGUUACAGUUACAUGAGAUGAGAAAGUUCCAGAGAUCUGCUGUACAACAUAGUGCCUAUAGUUAACAAUAAGUUACUGUGUGCUUAAAAAUUUAACAGGGUAGAUCUCAUGUUAAUUGUUCUUACUGUGAAAGGAAGGAAGGAAGGAAGGAAGACAAAGCAAUACAAGGAAACUUUUGGAGGUGAUAGGUAUGUUUAUUACCUGGUUUGUGGUGAUGGUAAUACAAGUGUAUACAUAUGUCCAAACUCACAAAAUUGUACACAUAAAUUACGUGCAGUUUUUUUGUAUACCAAUUAUACCUCAAAAAAGUGGGAAAAACACCCUGGAAAAACAUAGCCAGUGUUUGUUCUCUUUGGUCACUGAUACAUUCUGAUUGGUCAGUGCCCAUCAUUCAAAUUUUAAAUAUUACUCCUAAUAGUUGGGGCAUGACAGAUGAUGGAUAGACGUUAGAUAGAUAAUAGAUGAUAGAUAGGUAGCUAGGUGGAUAGAUGCAUAGAUAGAUAGAUAAGUGAUAUAGGUAGUGUAUUAGUCAGCUUGAGCCACCAAAACAAAAUACCACAGACUGAGUGGCUUAAAAAACAGAAAUUUAUUUUCACAUAGUUGCUGGCCAAUUUGGUUCCUGAAGAAGCCUCCUUUCCUUUCUUGCAGAUGCCAUCUUCUCACUGUGUCCUCACGUGGCAGAGAGAGUGUUCUGGAGUCUCUUCCUUUUCUUAUAAGGGCACCAGCCCAAUUAGAUCAGGGCUCGACCCUUAUGACCUUAUUUAACCUUUAUUACCUCCUCCCAGGCUCCAUCUCCAAAUACAGUCACACUGGGGUUGGGACUUCAGUAUAUGGAUUGGGGGAGACACAAACUUCAGUCCGUAACAGGUAGGUAAGUAGGUAGGUAGAUGAUAUUUGGUAGGUAGUUAAGUAGGUGGAUGCAAGGAAAGAAAGAAGAAAGGGAGGAAGAGAAGGAGAGAGGGAAGUAGGGAAGAAUAGCAUCAGAGGUUAACUGUUGGGGGUUGGGGGCUGGAAUUGAAGCCCGCAGCGGGAAAGGACUUCUACUAUUUAAUUUCAAUCACUCUGUACCCUAUUAAAUGUAUUGUCAUGACCAUGUAUUCCUUCCUUAAUUGAAAAAUAGUUUUAAGAGGCAUACUGAAGUGUUUAGGGAUGAAAUGAUCUGGUGUUUGAGAUUUGCUUUAAAAAUAGUUCACUGAAAGAAACGGGAGAGAAUAGACAAGACAAGUCUGGCGAAAUGAUGGCGGUUGAAGCUGGCUGAAGCUGGGUACAUCAGGAUUCCUUGUGCUCUCUAGAUUCAUGUCUGGAAACUUUCCCAAGUUAAAAAGCACUGUAAUGUACUGAUACACACUACAACGUUGAUGAACCUUGAAAAUACUAUGCUAAGUGAAAGAAGCCAGUCACAAAAGACCACACAUUAUAAGAUUCCAUUUAUAGGAAAUCUCCAGAAUGGGAAAAUCCACAGCAACAGAGAGCAGCUCAGCGGCUGCCAGCAGCUGGAGGGAAGGGUGGGGGUGACUCUUAACAAGCAUCGAGCUUCCUCUUGGGUGAUGGAAGUGUUCUGAAACUGGACAGAUGUGAUGAUGGCACAUUGUAAUGCACCAAAUGCCACUGCAUUGUACAUUUAAAAUUCUUCAAAUGAUAAAUUUGGUGUUGUGUAUAUUUUACCACAAUUAAAAAAUUAAUUUAACAAAACUUUGUAAGAUUAUAAUUUAGCUCAGCUAAUAAGGAAUGAAAAAAGAAUGCAUGUGUGUUUUGGAACAUACCUUUCACACUGGACAACAUUCAUUCUGACAACAGAGGGAUGGGUUGGAUUUGAGUAUUGGAUUAACCAAGGCAAUUUGACAAAGCAUCUCUCAGAAUUAAUUAAAUGUAGUAAAUGCAAGAGUCAAUUAAUAAUUAAUUGAUUGACUUGUAAUUUAUAUGCCAUCUAUUCUCAUAAAGAAAUGGAGAAGCUCAUGAAAGACACACAUAAGUAAGACAGCAAAAUGAUGUAAGUAAAUGUAAAUGUUUUUACAAUGAUUUUUAAAUUAUCUUACUUUUUAAGGUUUCCCUGUAGGUACUAGCAUUUUCAUCAUUGUUCUUACUUUUUUGCAUUUAUGUUUUUAUUUGUAUGAAAAUAUAAGAAUACCCAGAGACCAACUGAUGUUGACGAAACUACAGUAGGUACUUUCAUAAGAAAAGGGUAAGGAAUCAUGGCUGCGUAUUCAAUAUUCAACUUCACACCAAGGUAUAAAGAUGAUACUAAUAUAAGGUCUAGGAAAAAAAACAAAUAAAAUGCCACUCAGCACACAAACAAAAUGCUGAAGUUCGUUCUCGUGGCUGACACACCCUCUCAGUUCCUCCAUGUCCUUGAUAUUAACAAGUCUUUGCAACAUGACUGAAAGAGGGUAUCGGCAAUCAAGUGGGAUGGUUUUAAAGGAACACCAGUCACGCGCUCAACAAGCACCUCUGACGUGGCUGCUGCAGGGUGUGGGGUGGGCUACCCUGGGAUGUGUGUGGAAGAGCCAACACGACGCACACAGGUCCCACUCACAAGUAAAAAUCAUGCUUAUUGUCAGAGAGGUUUAUUUAAAAUCAUUAGCAUAGCUAAAUUUCAAAGUUCAAAUGAAAAUCAUGUUUUUUAUAGAUUGAGAAGUCCUCUCUGUUGUCUCUGUCAGACAAGUAGAUAUAUGUGCCAUUUUCAGGAAGUGGGGAUUCCUGACAUGUUGCAUGUUCUUCGUGCUAAAAUGCUAUCUACCUGUUAUAAACAUAAAAUCCGAACCCAUUAAAAUAGCAAUAGUGAAUUGCAAUAAAUAGGCAAAAACUAAACUGUUUCCUGGGGCCGGACCUGUGGCCGAGUGGUUGAGUUUGUGGGCUCCACUUCAGCAGCCUAGGGUUUCACCAGUUCGGAUCCUGGGUUCGGACCCAGCACCGCUCAUCAGGCCAUGCUGAGGCAGCGUCCCAUAUAGCAGAACUAGAAGGACCUACAACUAGAAUGUAUGACUAUGUACUGGGGAGCUUUGGGAGAAGAAGAAGAAAAAGAGAGAAGAUUGGGAACAGAUGUUAGCUCAGCUGCCAAUCCUUAAAAAGUAAGAUGUUUCCUUUAAAAAGCAUUUUCUGAUACACACAACUGGUUUUAAUGAGGAUAAUCAAGCUUCAUUUAGUUUUAAUCUAAGGUCAACUGACCGUGUCUUGGAAAUAGAGAAAGCAAUCAUCUUUAUGCUUACACCCAGCAGAUAUAAGCUCCAUGCCCGGCUUCAUAUCAAGGAGCCAAACCAAGAGCAGCACUGGGGAUGUACUAAUCAAUGGCCUGGUGGUGGUAACUCAGCCCUACGGCCCAAAAGAAGAAAAGGCACACGAGCCUGAGUCUCGGCCAGAGGUAGCACACGUCUUGGGGAGGAAGUCAGUGCCCUGGUCACCUCAGGGGACGACAACGAGUCCAAAACUGGAGGGGAAUGACCGUCGAGGGUAGGCCUCUACUAAUAAAUCCCUGAGACUGGAGGGAAGGGAAGCAUGGUCCAGCCUCUGAGGGAGCGUCCCUGGUGGGCAUGGAUGAGGCUGGGGCUGCCUUCUGGGAUGUGAUUGGUAGGCAAGCAAAAUUGUUUAAGGCAAUGCUAGGUUGCUAUUCUGUAUUGACCUGCCAACUCGAUCCACAGAAAAUAUGUCCACAUGUUCCUACAUGAAACAGCUGUUAGAAUGCACGAUGAGCUAUCUCUUGGAUGGUUAAUAUGGAGCUGUUCUUGGGGACAAAGCACAACUUCUGAGGUCUAACCAAAAGGUUUUCUCACGCUGAAGCUGAGAGAGCCGAGCCCCGAGUGUGCAGAUGGAAGCGCCACAACAGCAAAUUACAAGAACACAGGUUGGUGGUGAUGAAGACAACGGCCGUCAUUUUAUCCAUCCGUGUGUCUGCAAGAGAGCACAUGGGAGGCCACUGGGCGUGGGGGUGCUUAUCUUUAGGGGAACAUGCAGUAGCCUGGACCAAUCCUAAUUCCUGGGGCUCGUGCUCGAUGACAUGGGUCAUAUGAAGGUGCUAUUGCUCGACUGAACACAUUUGGCAGGUGCAUUGCCUGCUGAAGGAAAUGGAAAAAAUGGCCCCAAAUUACUCUUGCGACAUUCUCAUAUGGUCUUCCGUGAUUGUUUCCCACAAUUGAGAGUCCACAGUACAGUGCAAGAGACAAGUAGCAGGACUGAUUCUUCACUUAACUCAGAACUAAAUAAAUGCCACUUUGCAGGUCCCCUGUGGUUCCAGAGAGGGGAGGAAAACAGUGACAGUAACUUGUGAAGAACAGUUGUCUCUUAGCCCAUGAUGCACCUCAUACUUCUUUACUGCAUUUGACACCACAAGUGGAAACCUACAGACCUGUUGAUGGCAGGUGAUACAGAUGAGAAAGCAAAGUCUUAGCCGGGAAGAACGUUAAAGUCACUUGUUGGGAACUCAGUCAUUCUGACCAUAAUACCAUGAGUAUCCAGACCUCAGUGACCAUCCAGAAAAGAAGAAAAAAUGCUGGUCCAAUGCAAAGUGACCUUAUCUAGUGCAAAACAUAGUUUUUGCCAAAAUACUCAUUGUCCCAAGAAAUUCUUCUCACUCAAAGUUGCAAUACCUGCCAGAGAGAGGUCAUGCUGUCACUGCUAAGGUAAAACACACUCCCCUGUCCCCUCUUGCUUUGUAAUGCCUGCUCUUCAGCAGAAAUGGACUUCUGGAAGGAGUAAUGGGCCAGGAGUCAGAAGAUGCUGAUGCAAAUCUAUGUUCUAUCAUUUUGAAACUCAGUGUUCGUGGGUGAAUCAUUUCCCCUCUCAGUUUCCUGGGAAUAAGGAGAAGCUGCAUUUCUACCAUUGAGGACAGUUGCAAGGAUCACUUGAUAUGAUGUAAUAUGAAAGAACCUGCAGAUGAUAAAAGGAUCUGCAAGUGAAAGCUGUCAUCAUCUUCAUUAUCAUAGCUGAAGACGCUGUGGGGAGCCUUUUGUACAAGCAGAGAUUCUCUCCUGAGACAUUUCUAGUUGGAAUAUCUACAAGACUCCAUCCUAAACAGAGUUUGUGGCAGGUAAAUUCACUUGUAUUCAUGUCGCACUAUUAACAUCCCUUUUUCAAACUAAAAAUGCAAAUAUGGAUGGCAAGAGACAAAGACAAUUGAACAGAAAGCUUCUGACUCUCCAUCGCCCUCAGCAGUGACCCCAGAAUGUGCCUCCUGGGGACAAGUCCUGGCCUUGGCCUGGUUGGGGCCACUCUCCCACUUUCCUCGCAAUGAGCAGCACAUGGUCGUGGUCUCACAGUCGUUGUCACACAGGCAACUUUGGGUUGAAUUGCUUUGACCUCUAUUUGAUUUGGUUAUUCUUCUUCUCCCAAAUACUUCUAUUAUUUUCUGGAAAAUGAUUGUUUUCACUGUUACUCUUACUCUUUUCAGCAGCAUUAAAAGAUUACCACCUCUGUGUGGCCAGUACAGUGGCCACAAAUGCCACAUUGUCACUUUGCAUCCCCUCUGCUGUUUCCUUUGUACUGUGAGUUCAAGAACAUAAAGGAACAGUUGUACGCCUGUUUCAAAUUGUUCUGCCCAGGCGAAAAUUAAGACUAAAUAAAAGCACCCAUGGCAUUGCUGUUUGCAGGCAUAGUCCACCUGCAUUUAAACUUGGAGUCAAUUGCUAUAUAAGAUUGAAGUUGCUAAGUAUGGCAACUACCUACUUUUUAAAAGAUAAGCUAUAUGCAGAAAGUCUUUUUCUGAAAAAUCUGUUUAGGUGUUAAUGGUUCUAAUGUUGUUUUUCAAAACAUGUAUAGUUCCCCUGACACAAGAUUCUCAUUGAGAGACCAUCUGAAACAGUGAACACUGGCAGAAACAGGGUCAUGCUCUGGGGUCUCCACUGCAAUUACUUGUCUAAGUCAGGUCCUCUCAGUGGGCUACCACAUACAACUUCACCUCACACAGAAUCUGCAAGGCCUGUCUGAACCCAAAACCAAUUUACAUCUUUAGGGUCUUUGCUCUGAGGGACCUUCUCUGAUCAGACCAAAAUAGCUAUGCAGCGUACUCGCUAUCUCCAUAUUCUGCUUUAUUUUACUUCAAAAAGCAUGUUAAUAAUUAAAAGCACAUUGUUUUUUUGUCUAUUCAGGACUUGGUUCUUGCCCUUGAGGAUCUUGCCAGCUAGCCUCGGAGGAAAGACACACAAACGUUAUCUCAACAUAAGGUCCUUCUAGUUAUGGCAUGUGGGACACUGCCUCAGCGUGGUUUGAUGAGCAGUGCCAUGUCCUCGCCCAGGAUUCCAACGAAACACUGGGCCACCUGCAGCGGAGCGCGCAAACUUAACCACUGAGCCACCGGGCCAGCCCCCUGGCAGUAUGUUUUAUUCCUAAUUUUCAUGGGUCGUGUAGGUUUUCCAUCUGCCUGAUGUUUUUUUCCGGCCUCACUGUGUAAUAUUUGUGCAGGUCUCUACACGGCCCCAUGUCGAUGCCCACUGAUAAUUACUUAUCUCUGAAGGAAGCAGUUCUCCUGAGCCGGCUCAUCUGGGACCAGUGCGAGGCGGGGACGAGGGAGGGAGCUGCAGAAAGACCACGCCCUCCACCCGGGCUUGUCCUCAGCCCUCGGGCUUCCCUCUUCUGAGCUCCCCUAAAUCACACAGGGUGAUGGCAGCCUCUUCCUUCCAUCCACCCCGCUGAGGCAGACCGUCUUAGGGAAAAGCUGGGUCAUAGACAAUAAAAAUAGCACACGGAUUCGCCUUCAGUUUUACCUCCUACAUUUGGGAUGGGUCUGCGUCUAGGCUCCUCCCUGCUCAACGGCCCAUCAGCCCGGUGCCCACCUGCUCCCCUACCGCUGGCACAGGGCCAGACCCUGGGGCAAAGCGAGCACUCCAGAACCGGUCAGCAGAGGUGGGCGUCCCAGCAGAGUGAGGCACGGGUUUGUUCACCCGCCAUCUCCGGCGCGUCACUGGUUCCCAAAAACUCCGCCUCUUUCCCUCUCUUCCGCGCCUUUGCUCUUUGCCCCGGGUGUGUCGGGGAAGGGGAGAUGUGGCGGGGACGGAGGGCUCAGGCGGGAGGGGCAGGUGGCCCUGGGGUGUUGGAAACCCUGGGCGACGCCUGCUCGGCGAGCUCCUUCCCUGCCCCGCUCCGUCACUAAGCGCUUCCUGACACGAGGAGGCCGCUCAUUCCGAGAUGGGAAGAUUCGGGUUCUAGGACCCAGCUGUCUGUACGCAUGUGGAGAAGCCCCCAGUCGCCUCCUCUUCCAUGUUAUCACCUCAGGGCGUUUAAACACUUAAUUUAAACACUUAAUAGUUCAGCAGCAGGGAAAUAAGCCACCACAUGAGCGGUAAGUUUCCCACUUAGAAAAAAUCAGAAAAAAAAAAUAUUUUUAAAAGAGAAGAAGAAAUGGUGGGUGGGCUGAGUUUACGUCUCCUGCCUGGUGGAUUAGUGAUUCCGUCGGCACAGCAGCAGGCUAACAUUUUCAAAUAGGGAGACAUAUGAUUAAAUCUCUCUUUCGAUGUUAUCUGCAAAUUGAUUCGCUGAGCUCUGCUUCCAGGGCAGCUCUCUACUUAGAGUCGGAGAGUCUUGGCGUGGAGUUAGGAUCACUGUCCUGCUCUGCAGUGGACGCGCUCUUUAAAGCACUAAUUAGACCAACAUUCACUGUCUUGUAUGACUGGGACCUUCAACCUGUUGUUCUUUUCUAAUUAGAAUAAUUUCUCCUCCUGCCUUACCAAUCAAAUGGAGAAAUUGUUGGGAGUUCUCGCCCCUCCUUCCAAGUUCCCUGUGAUGUGCAGAGGCAUGGGAAGCACGUGGCUCUGCUCCCCCAUCUCCGCCAGCUCAUUCCUUCCUCGAGGGUGAUGACUUGGAAGUUCAUUUCCCGCCAGCCAAUUUCCUAGUGCUUCUCUUGAAGUAACAGAUUGUUGGCUCCUGAGAAAUUAUUAUUAUUGAAAUAGGCCUUAAACCAGGGUCAAGAAUCCCUAAAUGGAUGUCUAAUGGUCACUAGUGAGCAAAACAAAGGUGUAAGAAGUGAGGACGGGAUCUAGUGACCAUUAGGUAUCAGUUUAGCCAUUCUUGACCCUGAUCGAAGGUCUUUUUCUGAAGGUUUAAUUAAAUGACAUUAUACAAACCACAUUGACAUACUUCUUCAAAAAACGCAAUUUCUCUGCCUCUCCCUUCCAAGCGAGUUCCAGUUCCCGGCCAAGAUCCUUGGGUGACAUCUGCACUGUGGCGUAGGCGUGGAUAUUUUCUGAUAACAGUGGUGAUAAGGCUUUCAGCUGAGGCUCCCCAGGUACAGGCCUGCCCAAGUCCAAGGACAGCGAUCACAGCUGUCAGUCAUCACUACACUGCUGGGGGCAGUACUGCUCUUAUCCCUGUUCUACAGAAGAGGAAACUGAGGCACGGUGCUUAAGGAACUGGCCCAUGGAGAAGCUUCAGCCUGAGCCUUGUGGAAGCCUUGAGUCUGAUGUUAGGACCUGCUCUCCUCACCACAUCUUGAAUGGUUUCCACUGAUGAAUAGAUAGAAGCUGUUGGAUUGAUCUCGCAUCCUGACAGCCAGUUGGCUGUCCAAUACUCUCACCCAACAGCUGUAUCUCCUGCUGUGCAGCAUCUUCUGUAAAUCUCCACUCUGUGUAGCCUUCGUUCAGUGGGUGAUGUUCACUGAGUCACUCAUUCAACAAGUAUUCAUGGAGGACCUUCUAAGUGCGGGUUCUCAGAACUGUGUGCAGCUCCACUGGGGAACAAAGCAGAGGUGCAUGCCCCCGUAGAGAGCACAGUCUAACAGGAGAGACGGGCGCUGAUCAAGUCACUUGGCUAUUAAAUGAAUUGUGAGACCUGACAGAAGUGCUCAACAGGAGCAGUGCAGGAGCGAGAACAGACAGCGGGAAGCCUGCUCCAGACUGAGAGUUUCUGCAACCUUCUCGUCUACCGUGAAACUUACACUUAUUUUGAGGGUUGAGAGGCACCAGCAGGAAACAGUUGCACUUGUGAAAGUAGAGUAGACAGUAGAGAGGAGGCAGGUGACAAAUAGAAAUGGCAAGCAAUAGAAUAUAUUGGAAUAUAUGAAGAAGCCAUUUGGUGUAAACCCAAUUCGGCCUGACUUUGUUUUUUCCAAAAGGGCCUGACUGUGGCCAUUGAGCAUCCAUUGUAUAUCUGCUUUAAAGGUUUGUUUACUAUGGCAAGAACAAAUGGCCUUAAGAUAAAGGUGCAACUUCCCCCGACAUUGGCAUUUCCUUAAGGAUAAGCAUCUUUCCUUAGGCUAGGAGCUGAUUGCUGUGCUCACCUUUGACCACCCAGCUCACCUGUGACCACCCGGCUCAAUACAACAGACCUGCCACCCUGCUGUGUUCACUGAGACAGCAGAUCUACCUGCUGUGUCCAUCAAUCGCUGUGCUGUGCCAACAGAGCAGUCUUGCGACUAUUGUAAAAGGGACAUUUCAAUUGUAUGCGAAACAUCCUCUUUGGGGGUAUAUAACCACUCUGUACACCCCACUUCUUUGGUGGCCUUUCUUUCUUCUGGAAGAAAGGCCCUGGGCUAUGGUCCUCACAUUUUAGCUCAGAAUAAACUCUCCCAAAUUUUCAUUUAUAGAUUGGCUAUGGAUUAUUUUCGUUGACACAGGGAACGCAGCGGUCUUUUCAUUAGAGCCGGGCAGAAACAAG